This 73-nucleotide transfer RNA is filed under the name Nanobdellota archaeon. Its description in RNAcentral is "tRNA-Gln". It matches the Rfam family "tRNA". Rfam says of the family: Transfer RNA (tRNA) molecules are approximately 80 nucleotides in length. Their secondary structure includes four short double-helical elements and three loops (D, anti-codon, and T loops). The record is from RNAcentral. Lineage: Archaea; Nanobdellati; Nanobdellota. RNAcentral also lists the same sequence under 2 other names.
AGCCCUGUAGUACAGCGGUCAAGUAUCUAGCCCUUUGGAGGCUGGGACCCAGGUUCGAAUCCUGGCAGGGCUA